UCACCUUCAUACUUUACGAAUAAGUAUCUAGAUUAGAUCUAUUUAAUUUAAAUCUAUCUUCCAUAUCUACCAAUAUGAUAUACUAGUAUUUCUCUGAGUGCACCUCGGAGCUCAGAGACAGCAGUGGAGGCCUAUUGUUUGGCCAGUCUUGGCCAUGUUCGUUAAGUGGGUGCAGCAGGCGAAGGACUCGCAGGACUCGUAGCACAGUAAUUACAAGCAGACGCAGGCCCAUCUUCCAAUCGUGGUUUCCCCCAGCAGGAUCUGUCUGUGGCAAGGACAUGGUUAGUACUAUCCUGUCCUGCGCUGUCCGUCGGAGGAGUAAAUAAAACUGUGCAGACAAUUAAGUUUGUUUUGCCUGGGCAUAUUCUUUUCACCACCCAUCCCAUUUUUUUUUUCGGGCUCACGUUUAUGGCCAAGUCGAGCAGGUAAUGGCUGUCCGUUUUUCGUCCUGCUUCGUCCUGGCCAAGAAAUUGCACUAAUUGUUGUUGCCGGACCUCCAGCAAUUGGCUUUUCGUCGAGAAGGAGAUACAAACUUAAUUUGCAGCCGAAUUCGAUUUUUGCUUGUGGCCUGUUGAUUAAAAUUCGUUUUGGAACUUCAUUUAGAUAGCAGAUGAUGCCUGUGGUUGAUCAUUAUUUUCCCUGUGGACUGGUUUAAGUAGAUUGAUUCGACUGAUUAAAAACAUUCAACUUAACAAAAAAGA
Drosophila melanogaster (fruit fly) is the source of this 701-nucleotide non-coding RNA. NCBI's taxonomy places the organism in Eukaryota, Metazoa, Arthropoda, Insecta, Diptera, Drosophilidae. The record is from Ensembl.